RNAcentral lists this ribosomal RNA (498 nucleotides) under uncultured bacterium. RNAcentral describes it as "partial 16S ribosomal RNA". It matches the Rfam family "Bacterial small subunit ribosomal RNA", at positions 28 to 507 of the family's 1533-position model. The record is from RNAcentral.
GACGAACGCUGGCGGCGUGCCUAAUGCAUGCAAGUCGAGCGGACGAAUCGAAAGCUUGCUUUUGUUUCGUUAGCGGCGGACGGGUGAGUAACACGUGGGCAACCUGCCUUGUAGACGGGGAUAACACCGAGAAAUCGGUGCUAAUACCGGAUAACACGUAAUGCCGCAUGACGUUUCGUUGAAAGACGGCGCAAGUUGCAGCUACAGGUUGGGCCCGCGGCGCAUUAGCUAGUUGGUGAGGUAACGGCUCACCAAGGCGACGAUGCGUAGCCGACCUGAGAGGGUGAUCGGCCACACUGGAACUGAGACACGGCCCAGACUCCUACGGGAGGCAGCAGUAGGGAAUCUUCCGCAAUGGACGAAAGUCUGACGGAGCAACGCCGCGUGAGCGAUGAAGGCCUUCGGGUCGUAAAGCUCUGUUGUUAGGGAAGAACAAGUAACGCAGUAACUGGCGUUACCUUGACGGUACCUAACGAGAAAGCCACGGCUAACUACGUG